Non-coding RNA from Vicia faba (fava bean), 228 nucleotides. The record is from the annotation of a GenBank genome assembly. Lineage: Eukaryota; Viridiplantae; Streptophyta; Magnoliopsida; Fabales; Fabaceae.
AUGAUGAUUUUUGCCACAUCCAGGUCAACAGGAGCAAUGGUUGAGAGACCAUCUCAAUUAAGGCUCGACAGGGUUGCACAACAUGCCUCUGUGCAGAGAGAAAAGACUCAAGAAAACCUGCCUCCUCUUGCCUCUAGACAGGCCGCCAUGUUGCUAGAUAUAUUUGAGACAAACAUGAACGUGAUACGCUCAAGGUCAUUAACUAUGGGUGGAAGAUCAGUAGACUAG